This 484-nucleotide long non-coding RNA is filed under the name Rosa chinensis. RNAcentral's name for it is "sRNA RchiOBHm_Chr5g0019141". Lineage: Eukaryota; Viridiplantae; Streptophyta; Magnoliopsida; Rosales; Rosaceae. The record is from RNAcentral.
GGUAAGAUAAAUCAAAUCCAACCGGUUAUCUCUCUACUCUCUUCGACCUCUUCUACUUGAUAACAGCACAAUGCAGAGUAGACGUUGGUGAAGGUCUGCAGCGGCGGCGCCAGGUAAUUGACUCUGACGUGGAGCCAAUUGGCGUAGACGAUUCCGACGGCGGACUGAAAUGUCAUUAAAGUAGGCGACGAGCUCAACGCAGAGCAACAAGAGCACGAAGAUCAGAAGGCCCUUGAUGACUCGGUAGAGCCGCAACGAGGCCGACUCGGCUUGCGAAUCGGGAGACGCAGUUCGCGGUGCGGAUGGGGGCUACGAAGGAAUUGGUGACGAAGGCGAAGGAGGCGGUGAUUUGUUGGAAUUUGAGAAGCCAGAGCCAGGAGACCUGGCAGGCGCUCCGGGAGCGGUCUUUGCCGACAGUCCGAUCGGCACCGGGGCUGCUGAUCUCGACGGUGAGCAAGUGACCGGAGGAAUCGUCGAGCGGAGG